CUAACUCAAAUCUGAAUGGAGUUGGAACAAAUUCACUACGUUUGCCGCUAGGGGCGCUGUUUCGACUCCAUACAAAUUUGCGUUA
This 85-nucleotide microRNA precursor is filed under the name Bombyx mori (domestic silkworm). RNAcentral describes it as "mir-2807 microRNA precursor family". It matches the Rfam family "mir-2807 microRNA precursor family". Lineage: Eukaryota; Metazoa; Arthropoda; Insecta; Lepidoptera; Bombycidae. The record is from Rfam by way of RNAcentral.